CACUCAGUCGGUGUGUUGGUGGUGUGUGCGUCGGUGUGAGAGCACCACGCUGCGCUGCGCUCGCUUGUGCCCGGGCUUCCUGACUAGGUGAGCCCCAGCCUCGCCUUCCAUGGUCGCACUCGCGCCCUCGACGCUCAGUGGAACUCCAACUGAAAGGAAAGGAGGAUUUACCUGUUCCGGCGGCGCCGAGGAAAGUUGACCGUGUGAGACAGCGUGGUGAAGAUGGGAUCGCCACGGCGCUCCAGCCCCCCGUGGCCGACGUGGCUGCUGGUGUGGUUCGCGGCUCCGCUCGCUCUGGCGGCAGUGGCUUCCCUGGAUAUUGAAG
Penaeus monodon (black tiger shrimp) is the source of this 325-nucleotide long non-coding RNA. RefSeq lists it as uncharacterized. Lineage: Eukaryota; Metazoa; Arthropoda; Malacostraca; Decapoda; Penaeidae. The record is from RefSeq and is a predicted model, not a curated record. The transcript is spliced from 3 exons.